AUGCGCUCACAUUUCCAUUGAAGAAUAAUUUUGAAACCAAUGAAUUUCUUGUUCUUGAUCUUGCCAUUGCCAAGAAAAUAAAUCCACUCUACUUCAUUGAUCCUAUGAGCUGAUUUGUGCUAGGAAGCUCAAGAAGAUUGUUGAGAACCAUGAGCAAGAAAACAUCCAAGAAAUGGAAUGAUGAUAGCUGAAUGUGCAUCAUUUCGAUGGUUUAAAACUUUGCUUUAAACUUAAAACAAACCACAAUCCAAUUGGUGAGAAAGUUACAGCUGUACGAAGUCUCAAGCCUCAAGUUUCACCUAUCUGACAAUCUAUCUUGUUCACCGGUCCUCUCCAAAUACUUCGA
This 346-nucleotide unclassified non-coding RNA is filed under the name Hevea brasiliensis (rubber tree). The record is from RNAcentral. Lineage: Eukaryota; Viridiplantae; Streptophyta; Magnoliopsida; Malpighiales; Euphorbiaceae.